UACGGGGGGGGCAAGCGUUGUUCGGAAUUACUGGGCGUAAAGGGCGUGUAGGCGGUCAGGUAAGUGAGACGUGAAAUGCCCCGGCUUACCCGGGGACCUGCGUCUCAUACUGCUUGGCUUGAGUACGGGAGAGGGUGUGGGAAUUCCUGGUGUAGCGGUGAAAUGCGUAGAUAUCUGGAGGAACACCGGUGGCGAAGGCGGCAUCCUGGACCAAUAUUGACGCUGAGGAGCGAAAGCCAGGGGAGCAAACGGG
RNAcentral lists this ribosomal RNA (253 nucleotides) under uncultured bacterium. RNAcentral describes it as "partial 16S ribosomal RNA". It matches the Rfam family "Bacterial small subunit ribosomal RNA", at positions 524 to 776 of the family's 1533-position model. The record is from RNAcentral.